Molecule: ribosomal RNA, 530 nt
Filed under: uncultured bacterium
Lineage: Bacteria
Description: bacterial SSU rRNA
Rfam family: Bacterial small subunit ribosomal RNA
Source: RNAcentral
UCUUGACAUCCAGAGAAUUUAGCAGGGAUGCUUUAGUGCCUUCGGGAACUCUGAGACAGGUGCUGCAUGGCUGUCGUCAGCUCGUGUUGUGAAAUGUUGGGUUAAGUCCGCAACGAGCGCAACCCUUAUCCUUUGUUGCCAGCGCGUAAUGGCGGGAACUCAAAGGAGACUGCCGGUGAUAAACCGGAGGAAGGUGGGGAUGACGUCGAGUCAUCAUGGCCCUUACGAGUAGGGCUACACACGUGCUACAAUGGCGCAUACAAAGAGAAGCGACCUCGCGAGAGCAAGCGGACCUCAUAAAGUGCGUCGUAGUCCGGAUUGGAGUCUGCAACUCGACUCCAUGAAGUCGGAAUCGCUAGUAAUCGUAAAUCAGAAUGUUACGGUGAAUACGUUCCCGGGCCUUGUACACACCGCCCGUCACACCAUGGGAGUGGGUUGCAAAAGAAGUAGAUAGCUUAACCUUCGGGAGGGCGUUUACCACUUUGUGAUUCAUGACUGGGGUGAAGUCGUAACAAGGUAGGCGUAGACGU